Molecule: ribosomal RNA, 500 nt
Filed under: uncultured bacterium
Lineage: Bacteria
Description: bacterial SSU rRNA
Rfam family: Bacterial small subunit ribosomal RNA
Source: RNAcentral
UAGUCCACGCCCUAAACGAUGCUUACUCGAUGUUUGGGCUAUAUGCUUGAGCAUCUAAGCGAAAGUGAUAAGUAACCCACCUGGGGAGUACGUUCGCAAGAAUGAAACUCAAAGGAAUUGACGGGGGCCCGCACAAGCGGUGGAGCAUGUGGUUUAAUUCGAUGAUACGCGAGGAACCUUACCAGGGCUUAAAUGUAGUCUGACAGCUUUAGAGAUAGAGUUUUCUUCGGACAGAUUACAAGGUGCUGCAUGGUUGUCGUCAGCUCGUGCCGUGAGGUGUCAGGUUAAGUCCUAUAACGAGCGCAACCCCUGUUGUUAGUUGCCAUCGAGUAAUGUCGGGAACUCUAGCAAGACUGCCGGUGCAAACCGCGAGGAAGGUGGGGAUGACGUCAAAUCAUCACGGGCCCUUACGUCCUGGGGCCACACACGUGCUACAAUGGUAGGUACAGAGAGCAGCCACUUGGUGACAAGGAGCGAAUCUAUAAAGCCUAUCACAGUUC